This 397-nucleotide ribosomal RNA is filed under the name uncultured bacterium. RNAcentral's name for it is "partial 16S ribosomal RNA". It matches the Rfam family "Bacterial small subunit ribosomal RNA", at positions 523 to 918 of the family's 1533-position model. The record is from RNAcentral.
AUACGUAGGUGACAAGCGUUAUCCGGAUUUACUGGGCGUAAAGGGCGUGUAGGCGGUCUUGCAAGUCAGAAGUGAAAUUCCUGAGCUCAACUCGGGCGCUGCUUCUGAAACUGCAGGGCUUGAGUGCUGGAGGGGAUAGCGGAAUUCCUAGUGGAGCGGUAAAAUGCGCAGAUAUUAGGAAGAACACCGGUGGCGAAGGCGGCCUACUGGACCAUACCUGACGCUGGGGCGCGAAAGCGUGGGUAGCAAACGGGAUUAGAUACCCUGGUAGUCCACGCUGUAAACGAUGAAUACUUGGUGUAGGGGGUAUAGACUUCCUCGAUGCCGCAGGUAACACAAUAAGUAUUCCGCCUGGGGAGUACGGCCGCAAGGUUGAAACUCAAAUGAAUUGACGGGG